Acanthosepion pharaonis is the source of this 110-nucleotide non-coding RNA. NCBI's taxonomy places the organism in Eukaryota, Metazoa, Mollusca, Cephalopoda, Sepiida, Sepiidae. The record is from the annotation of a GenBank genome assembly.
AUGGCCAUGUCACAUUCAAAGCUUAGUUCUCAUUCGAUCACCAGAGUUAAGCAAUAUUGAGCCUGGUCAGUAUUUAUAUGGGUGACCUCUUGGGAAUACUCCUUACUGUA